RNAcentral lists this ribosomal RNA (941 nucleotides) under Salmonella enterica. Its description in RNAcentral is "partial 23S ribosomal RNA". It matches the Rfam family "Bacterial large subunit ribosomal RNA", at positions 209 to 1190 of the family's 2925-position model. The record is from RNAcentral. Lineage: Bacteria; Pseudomonadati; Pseudomonadota; Gammaproteobacteria; Enterobacterales; Enterobacteriaceae.
CCCCGAGGAAAAGAAAUCAACCGAGAUUCCCCCAGUAGCGGCGAGCGAACGGGGAGGAGCCCAGAGCCUGAAUCAGCAUGUGUGUUAGUGGAAGCGUCUGGAAAGGCGCGCGAUACAGGGUGACAGCCCCGUACACAAAAGCGCAUGUGCUGUGAGCUCGAUGAGUAGGGCGGGACACGUGGUAUCCUGUCUGAAUAUGGGGGGACCAUCCUCCAAGGCUAAAUACUCCUGACUGACCGAUAGUGAACCAGUACCGUGAGGGAAAGGCGAAAAGAACCCCGGCGAGGGGAGUGAAAAAGAACCUGAAACCGUGUACGUACAAGCAGUGGGAGCACCCUUUGGGGUGUGACUGCGUACCUUUUGUAUAAUGGGUCAGCGACUUAUAUUCUGUAGCAAGGUUAACCGAAUAGGGGAGCCGGAGGGAAACCGAGUCUUAAUUGGGCGUUAAGUUGCAGGGUAUAGACCCGAAACCCGGUGAUCUAGCCAUGGGCAGGUUGAAGGUUGGGUAACACUAACUGGAGGACCGAACCGACUAAUGUUGAAAAAUUAGCGGAUGACCUGUGGCUGGGGGUGAAAGGCCAAUCAAACCGGGAGAUAGCUGGUUCUCCCCGAAAGCUAUUUAGGUAGCGCCUCGUGAAUUCAUCUCCGGGGGUAGAGCACUGUUUCGGCUAGGGGGCCAUCCCGGCUUACCAACCCGAUGCAAACUGCGAAUACCGGAGAAUGUUAUCACGGGAGACACACGGCGGGUGCUAACGUCCGUCGUGAAGAGGGAAACAACCCAGACCGCCAGCUAAGGUCCCAAAGUCAUGGUUAAGUGGGAAACGAUGUGGGAAGGCCCAGACAGCCAGGAUGUUGGCUUAGAAGCAGCCAUCAUUUAAAGAAAGCGUAAUAGCUCACUGGUCGAGUCGGCCUGCGCGGAAGAUGUAACGGGGCUAAACCAU